Molecule: non-coding RNA, 87 nt
Organism: Octopus sinensis (East Asian common octopus)
Lineage: Eukaryota; Metazoa; Mollusca; Cephalopoda; Octopoda; Octopodidae
Source: the annotation of a RefSeq genome assembly
GCCUAGCUGAUCCUUGGUGGUCCGAGGUACGGGCUUCAAACCCGUGGCCGGUUGACACCGGAGUGGUUCGAUUCCACCUGGUAGGCG